Molecule: long non-coding RNA, 390 nt
Organism: Oncorhynchus tshawytscha (Chinook salmon)
Lineage: Eukaryota; Metazoa; Chordata; Actinopteri; Salmoniformes; Salmonidae
Source: Ensembl
GUUGAGAGACAGGAGGGGUAAUGGGAGAGACAGGAGAGGUGAUAGGAGAGACGGGAUGGGGGACAGGAGGGGUAAUGGGAGAGACAGGAGAGGUGACAGGAGAGACAGGAUGGGGGACAGGAGGGGUAAUGGGAGAGACAGGAGAGGUGAUAGGAGAGACGGGAUGGGGGACAGGAGGGGUGAUAAAAGAGACAGGAGAGGUGAUAAGAGAGACAGGAUGGGGGACAGGAGGGGUGAUGGGAGAGACAGGAUGUGGGACAGGAGGGGUGAUGGGAGAGACAGGAGAGGUGAUAGGAGAGACAGCAGGGGUGAGAGGAGAGACAGGAGGGGUGAGAGGAGAGACAGGAGAGGUGAUAGGAGAGACAGCAGGGGUGAGAGGAGAGACAGGGG